CCCCGGCCCGGGCACUGAUGCUUUGUAAAUCACGGCUGCGGGGAGCCAGGGAUUGCUGAGGAGGAGGGGUGAGGAGGUGGUUUCCAGCUGAGCGCUGCAGAGAUGGGUUUCCUUUCGAAAAUAUACCCCUUUUUCCCCACUGACGCGGGCGGACCGGGAAGCCCUUUUUUUGCCGUGAGUUUAAUUUCCCGGGUUCCUUUGUUUGCUGCGGGGAUUUACAUGAGGUUGGAGCCGCGAUAACGUGCCGGAGCGCCCCGUCGUGCCAGCGCUCCCGCUCCACCCAGCUCAGGAUCUGUAGGCGUCCGGCGCGGCAGUCCCCAGACAAGACCUCGGCAGUGUAAAUCUGGACAACACGGUGCAGCCCGGGGUGCAAACACCGUGCGGGGGAACCUCCCGCCGCCUCCUCUUGC
RNAcentral lists this long non-coding RNA (410 nucleotides) under Struthio camelus australis. RNAcentral describes it as "lncRNA (ENSSCUG00000000903.1)". The record is from RNAcentral. Lineage: Eukaryota; Metazoa; Chordata; Aves; Struthioniformes; Struthionidae.